Pipra filicauda (Wire-tailed manakin) is the source of this 193-nucleotide long non-coding RNA. RefSeq lists it as uncharacterized. The transcript is spliced from 3 exons. Lineage: Eukaryota; Metazoa; Chordata; Aves; Passeriformes; Pipridae. The record is from RefSeq and is a predicted model, not a curated record.
AUGACUUCUCUCAACCUGAGACAUGGAAAUCGGGGUCAGAGAAAUCAUCUGCUCAGCUAUUGACCCGGUUUGGAAACUCUUUGAUUCUGCUGAGUGUUGGACUGCCCAAGCUGCUUUGCUCUCUACUUCCUGGAGAUGGAGGAUAAAAAAAAAAAAAGCUGCACAGCAUGGCUGCCACAGUUACCUUAGGAAC